Molecule: non-coding RNA, 387 nt
Organism: Paramuricea clavata
Lineage: Eukaryota; Metazoa; Cnidaria; Anthozoa; Malacalcyonacea; Plexauridae
Source: the annotation of a GenBank genome assembly
GUGUAAUCACUCACACUGGUGCUUAAAAGGUACAAGUUUAUUUAAUUUCUAAUUUUUUGUCAAGAUGAAUUCUCAGUGGUCUUUUUUCCAAGAUGGUAAAAUUUAACCUCACAGUAACUCUUGAUGAUGCUCUUGGUCAACUGAAAUAUAACAUGAUUUCCAACUGGUGAGUCAAAAAUAUGGUGAUCUAGCUCAGUAAAGACUGUGUAUGGACAAUGAAGCCAGAACAGAACAGUAUGGACAAUGCAACCAGAACAGAAGUGGUCAGAACAUAUAAACAUCUGCUUUUUGGGUGACCACUUUUCUUGAUGAACAUUUUGUAUCAACUGUUUUCAUAGUACUUCAUCCUUAGGGAUGUUUAUCAUGUUAAUGCAAGUCUAAUUUCAA